UGGUGAAGCGAUUUGUCUGGUUAAUUCCGUUAACGAACGAGACCUCAACCUCCUAAAUAGGGCGGGGUACACGGGCUUGAUCCUCGUGGUCAGGCUAGUAUCCUGAACCCGAUAAACCAACUUCUUAGCGGUACUCACUGUAUAUAAACAGUGGGAAGUUUGAGACAACAACA
This 173-nucleotide ribosomal RNA is filed under the name uncultured eukaryote. RNAcentral's name for it is "partial 18S ribosomal RNA". It matches the Rfam family "Eukaryotic small subunit ribosomal RNA", at positions 1299 to 1458 of the family's 1831-position model. The record is from RNAcentral.